GGGCGACACGAUCGCGGUAAAUUUCAAGCGCGUGAUCCACCGGAGAUUUUUCGUAAUUAAUCGUUCGGCUUUUCUCGGCGGCGGGGAAAACGAAAUUUCGGUUUUAACUCGGGAUCGAUCGCUAUUUUCGCUCAUCAAAAGCUACGUUUAUCGUCGCUCCGAGUGCGUGAUAUUUCAUUCCGAGUUAUUUAUACCGGACGUUAACGACUGGGAGAACAGAAAGUUUUUUUUUUCUAAAUCAGAUCAUAAAAGACAUCUCGCCGGACGAAUUUUAUUGUUCGAGUGAAAUUAGAUUUCGGACGUAUGCCGAGGAACCGAGAGGAGAAAGAAGUUCGGGAGCGUCAGCGGACUUGCGAGCGCGCGCGAGCUUAUACGAGGUUGAACGAACGCAUAAAAACUGUCAGCCGAGCCGAGAGUAUGAAUGGGCCGCGUGGGGAUUUUUAAGCAUAAAAUAAGAUGUUAAUUUACGAUGGAAACAAACCAUCAGGCUCGAUAUUCGGCUGCUGGGCCUUGUACCAGAUUAUUACUCACUUUGCGAGAAUUCGAUCAUGACGUACACCGGGGGCCGAUUGUAAACGCUCGCGCGCUUGAAUUUUCAAUCGUCGCGGGACAAGUGGAAAUAGCACGUCGAGUUAUUACACUCGUAAAGUCUUUUUUUUCUCUCUCCCAGCUACUAUAUAGUAUAAACUAUGCGGGUGACGAGAUUAUAGCGUCGGGAAUGACGAGUUAACGAGGCCGAAGACAUGCGGAACGGCGUCGCGUGUGCAUUUUUCAGAGUGAUUUUGAGUCACGAAAAGCCGUCGUCGCGCUUUUUUCGGCCGCGAGUUUUAUCGUACUCGCGUAGGCGCGCGUGCUUUUGCCAAAGAAUCUCGCGGUUCAUCUAAUAAUAGCGACGAGAAUAGCUCCAUUAAUUUUGCGAACGUACAGCCAAGUGACUUGUAUACGCGUAUGGACUCUGAAAAAGUAGAGGCUUUGAAGUUUUCGUUGCUCCAUACCUUGUAGCUUGUUAGUUCUUGCUGUUUUAAGGCCGAAUUUACACUAAAAUAACUGACUACGCUAACAGUAAUUAAUAAUAUGAUAAUAAACAUUAACUACACAAUUUUUUCAACGAACAAACUAAACAACAUUUCUACUUUAUUCCAGCUGGAAACUCAUCCACACAUGCGUUCAUUUUGUUGCCGUGCGGAGCAAUCCCAGCACAUAGGGGAGCAGCACGCACACGACGCGACGGCAGGCGUGAUGGCGGCGACAUCCCCGCGCACUCUACGCCCAUCAGCUGCCAACGGAAAUCAUCAGAAUUUCGCACAGCAUUCGCACGCGAUUGCGUCACAGCCAGCCAGCCAGACAGAGAGAGAGAGAGAGAGAGAGAGAGAGAGAGAGAGAGAGAGAGAGAGACACGAACCCCCGCCAUCAUCGGCGGAACGAGUUAUAUGCCUGCGGGCAUUUUUUUCCGUCACGUCGAACGUGUGUCAACUCGGUUGACGAGCCGAAAAAGUCGGGAGGAUGAUUCGGCUCUCGGCCGUCGCUAAGCUUGCGCGGGGCUUCGAAAUAGCCGAGAUCCGCGAGCAUCGUUCAGUGAGUGUGAAGUUUUAAGUGCGAUUUUUUUGGGAAAAGUGAUCGUGCGCGCGGCUUUGUAAUUUUUUGAGCGAUGUGGGUUGCAAAAGUAUACAUAUCAGUGUUUUGUUUGAAGACGCGAAGGGGCGAAGUUUCACGUGGGAGUGAUUGGAGAUUUUUGAAGACAAGGAUUGUUUGUGCGGUGUCAAACGAUGUUGCUCUUCGGUCGGGGAAGAAUUUUGAUUGAAAGUGUGAUUCAUCGAGUGAAAACAUUCGUCGGUCUAACGUCGCGCGUAGACGUAAAAUUAAACGCGAAACUACUGUCCAAAAGUGAUUUUUAAUACCCAGAAACUGCAACACAAACGAAAAUAAAUAGAAUUCUACGUAAAAAACCAGUGAACUAAAUUACAAAAUAAAAACCAGCCCGACAACGCCCUCGAAAAAAGCCAGCCGUCUCGCGCCGCCAUGCGCUUUGCCGUCGGAUCGAGAGAGGUUCCGCCUCGCGCGCAGAUAGAAGCCGCGUCAGCAGCAGCAGCAGCGUAUUCCAUCGCCAUAGCGAUCAUCCUAAAAUAACGAGGAAUCUCUUCUCUGCGUCUCCCUCGAGCAGCCCCCGCAGGAUAUCGCCCACUCGCUGCAGACCGACGAAGAAGAAGAAAAGGGCAUCGAUACAGCCGGAUCAGCGGACGGGAUCUCUCUUGACAAAAGAAGCGGAGCCAAUGCAGCGAACCGCUAUUAUUCCUCCUGCAGCCCCGGCGACCAGGAGCAGCAGCGGCGGCUGUAGCAGCGAGAGAGCAUCACGGCCGGGCGCAUUCGAAAGGGGAAACUCGCUCCUCUUGGAAAACGGGUAGUAUAGCUGCAGCGCAGAAUAGAAGUGGGAAAGCCGACGAGGGGCCGUAUUAUCGAGCCAGACGCUGCUGGAAUGGUGAAAGUCGUCGACGGAAGCGGGAGCCGAGUGAGAGAGAGAGAGAGAGAGUGGAAAAAAGAAGAGCAGCAGCAGCGAAGGGCGAGCGAGAGAGAGCUCGGAAAAGCGCUACUCUCGACGGAGUGGCGCAGCUGGCGCGAGCGGGAAUUUUGCGCCUCCCUUUUUCGGCUCUCUCACCCUCGCGCCUAUACGUAUAUUCCGCACCUAGCUGUACAGAGUAGAGAGAGAGAGAGAGAGAGAGAGAGAGAGAGAGAGUAUGUACGUAGAAGCAGCGCACCACGGGGAAAUUCCGGGGGGCUGUGUAAGCUCGCUCGGCGCUGCUGCUGCAAGCUCUCCCUCGACGCUACGCAGUACAGAUAUACGCGCGAGAUAGCAGAGGCGGUCGAGCUUGGGUCCCCUCCCUCCAGGAGCACCCCUUGCGCUCGCUAUCGAUCGCCGCCACCGUCGACGAACUCCUCUCCCGUGUGUCUGGAGCUGCUCUAUCUCUCUCUCUCUCUCUCUCUCUCUCUCUCUCUCUCUCUCUCUCUCUCUCUCUCUCUCUCCCUGCAGUAUAACAGGAAUGCCGAGCUGCCCGCCUCUGCUACGCCGACCAUCAAAAUGCUCUCACGUAUGUGUGCGUGUGUGUAUGAACAGAACUGGCUGUCUGACUCUCUAGACGCGCUGCACAGGCGAGAAAAGCGCUCGCUCGCUCCUCUUUUUUCCAGCGACGACGGAAUGCGACUGGCAAUCGCGUGCGCGUGUAUAUUUCACGAAAAUAAUAUAAUGGACGCGACGUGAGUGUCCGCUUUGCCUCGAACGUUAUCGUCUCUCUUUGUUCUCUCCCGACGCGUCGGCUUGUAAUUAUGGCGCGUAUCCCAAUGCGCGAUGGCGCGCGGCAGCACGUGCGCGCGCUACGAAAGGGUUACCAAAGCAGGAGGUGGAGCUCCAAUUUUCUCCGACAAAGAAAUUUUCGGCGCGCGCGUCAUAUUCGAGGAAAGUCGUGCGUGCAUCAGAGAUUGAACGUUUUUCUGGCUCUCCCCAGAGAAUACACAGUUAUAACGAGGAGGAAUCACGACACGCGGCGUUGCGAUGUCUUUGUUUUAACGCUCGCCGCAUUUAUCGCUUUUCCUUGGCCGGAAUGUGCCGCGGAGUUUAGAGUAAUUUUUUCCAGCCGAUAACUCGGCUAAUGACACAAUUCCGAUAAUUUAUUCCACAAUAACUGACGCGACCGCUAAGCUAAAACGUCGAUGAUUGCUACUUAAAAGCCGCGCGCGUUAAUUAAAACAAAACAAAACAACAGGUUAUCGUAUAGAAAAACACACGGCAGCAGCUAUAUGGAGUCUGAUGAAACAAUCGCGAAUUAUGAACAGCAGAGCUUUGCCAGGACUCAAAGCGCCGCCGGCAUCAUUAUCGACCGCAAAGCAGCACUAGCUCGACGGCCUAUAAACUCGCGGCCGCACAGCACUACUAUACCAUACUCUCAACCCUCUCGCGCGUCUUACGCAUCCUCAUUACGCGAAGUUACGAUAAUGACGAUCUCCGCCGGCGAGACAGAGAGAGAGAGAGAGAGAGAGAGAGAGAGAGAGAGAGAGAGAGAGAGAGAGAGAGAGAGAGAGAGAGAGAGAGAGAGAGCUGAGCUCACUUUGCAACUGCGCGGGCUGAUGUACGCCGAGUGCAGAGGGUCGGCUGCACGGACGUCGCGCGUUUUACGCCGCCGUUAAACACGUGCGAAUUUCGUUUUAUACCAUAUACACAAACACCGCCGGAGUAGUACAGGGAUGCGAGGCUUUAAUCUCGCGCGCGAGCGCCGGUUCAAACAGACAGAUUACGAAGCUGUUAUCAGACGGACGCGAACUGGAUAAAGGGAUUUUUGGAUCUCGUUCGUGUGAUAAAUGCCGAGAGUGAUCCUCGGGAGAUGCUUAUUUGCGCUUUGAUCGUAAAAAUUUUAUACUUUGUAUACUCUGGAAUAUAACACACUCGUUCUAGGUGUAUGUGUGUGUGUAUCUGUUUGUGUAAGCGCUCGCGCGGCCCACAUGAGGAUCGCGCAUAUUAAUUUUUCUCGUAUGUAUUUUAUCGUUCGUUAUUAGUUUCAUAAAGAGCAAAAAUUGUGGUCGCGUAUAAAAUUGCGCGUGUAUAAUCAGCCGGAUAUUUAUUGUUAUCUCCGAGCGCGUAUAAAUACAUUUCUAAAUUAGCCAUCAUCAGCGCGGCGAAAAAUUAUACUUUCUUAUAUGCACACAGCAGAGACUCUAGGUGCUUCAUUACGAGUAUGUGCGUAUGUUCCGUAUAGGUAGAUAACGCACGUCGAGAGAGGCCUUGUUAAGAUGCGCAGGGAUGAUAAGCGAAGGCGCAUAUUACAUGCUUUCGUGCGUGCGUAUGCACAGAAUUUAUACGUGGAGAGACGAUGGAAAUAAAAAUGUUUUGUGAGUUCAGAGUCUUAAAUUUUAUUCACU
Molecule: long non-coding RNA, 4905 nt
Filed under: Nasonia vitripennis (jewel wasp)
Lineage: Eukaryota; Metazoa; Arthropoda; Insecta; Hymenoptera; Pteromalidae
Description: uncharacterized LOC107981073
Source: RNAcentral